RNAcentral lists this ribosomal RNA (158 nucleotides) under uncultured bacterium. Its description in RNAcentral is "partial 16S ribosomal RNA". It matches the Rfam family "Bacterial small subunit ribosomal RNA", at positions 627 to 784 of the family's 1533-position model. The record is from RNAcentral.
GUGAUACUGGAGACCUUGAGUACAAGUGAAGUAGGCGGAAUGAGUCAUGUAGCGGUGAAAUGCAUAGAUAUGACUCAGAACACCGAUUGCGAAGGCAGCUUACUAACAUGUAACUGACGCUGAGGGACGAAAGCGUGGGGAGCGAACAGGAUUAGAUA